CAAGUAGAUGGUGAAAUCUGGUGGCUCAACCAUUCAGACUAUUAUCUAAACUACUAAGCUCGAGACCGUUAGGGGUAGCUGGAAUUUCUAGUGUAGGAGUGAAAUCCGUAGAUAUUAGAAAGAACACCGAUAGCGUAGGCAGGCUACUGGGACGGUUCUGACACUAAGGCACGAAAGCGUGGGGAGCAAACGGGAUUAGAUACCCCGGUAGUCCACGCUGUAAACGAUGGAUGCUA
Molecule: ribosomal RNA, 236 nt
Filed under: uncultured Candidatus Saccharibacteria bacterium
Lineage: Bacteria; Candidatus Saccharimonadota
Description: partial 16S ribosomal RNA
Rfam family: Bacterial small subunit ribosomal RNA
Source: RNAcentral